GAUGAACGCUAGCUACAGGCUUAACACAUGCAAGUCGAGGGGCAGCAUUUUAGUUUGCUUGCAAACUGAAGAUGGCGACCGGCGCACGGGUGAGUAACACGUAUCCAACCUACCGAUAACUCCGGAAUAGCCUUUCGAAAGAAAGAUUAAUACCGGAUAGCAUACGAAUAUCGCAUGAUAUUUUUAUUAAAGAAUUUCGGUUAUCGAUGGGGAUGCGUUCCAUUAGUUUGUUGGCGGGGUAACGGCCCACCAAGACUACGAUGGAUAGGGGUUCUGAGAGGAAGGUCCCCCACAUUGGAACUGAGACACGGUCCAAACUCCUACGGGAGGCAGCAGUGAGGAAUAUUGGUCAAUGGGCGAGAGCCUGAACCAGCCAAGUAGCGUGAAGGAUGAAGGCUCUAUGGGUCGUAAACUUCUUUUAUAUGGGAAUAAAGUUUUCCACGUGUGGAAUUUUGUAUGUACCAUAUGAAUAAGGAUCGGCUAACUCCGUGCCAGCAGCCGCGGUAAUACGGAGGAUCCGAGCGUUAUCCGGAUUUAUUGGGUUUAAAGGGAGCGUAGGUGGAUUGUUAAGUCAGUUGUGAAAGUUUGCGGCUCAACCGUAAAAUUGCAGUUGAAACUGGCAGUCUUGAGUACAGUAGAGGUGGGCGGAAUUCGUGGUGUAGCGGUGAAAUGCUUAGAUAUCACGAAGAACUCCGAUUGCGAAGGCAGCUCACUAGACUGUCACUGACACUGAUGCUCGAAAGUGUGGGUAUCAAACAGGAUUAGAUACCCUGGUAGUCCACACAGUAAACGAUGAAUACUCGCUGUUUGCGAUAUACAGUAAGCGGCCAAGCGAAAGCAUUAAGUAUUCCACCUGGGGAGUACGCCGGCAACGGUGAAACUCAAAGGAAUUGACGGGGGCCCGCACAAGCGGAGGAACAUGUGGUUUAAUUCGAUGAUACGCGAGGAACCUUACCCGGGCUUAAAUUGCAACAGAAUAUAUUGGAAACAGUAUAGCCGUAAGGCUGUUGUGAAGGUGCUGCAUGGUUGUCGUCAGCUCGUGCCGUGAGGUGUCGGCUUAAGUGCCAUAACGAGCGCAACCCUUAUCUUUAGUUACUAACAGGUCAUGCUGAGGACUCUAGAGAGACUGCCGUCGUAAGAUGUGAGGAAGGUGGGGAUGACGUCAAAUCAGCACGGCCCUUACGUCCGGGGCUACACACGUGUUACAAUGGGGGGUACAGAAGGCGGCUACCUGGUGACAGGAUGCUAAUCCCAAAAACCUCUCUCAGUUCGGAUCGAAGUCUGCAACCCGACUUCGUGAAGCUGGAUUCGCUAGUAAUCGCGCAUCAGCCAUGGCGCGGUGAAUACGUUCCCGGGCCU
This 1359-nucleotide ribosomal RNA is filed under the name uncultured bacterium. RNAcentral's name for it is "bacterial SSU rRNA". It matches the Rfam family "Bacterial small subunit ribosomal RNA", at positions 28 to 1381 of the family's 1533-position model. The record is from RNAcentral.